Molecule: transfer RNA, 72 nt
Filed under: Plutella xylostella (diamondback moth)
Lineage: Eukaryota; Metazoa; Arthropoda; Insecta; Lepidoptera; Plutellidae
Description: tRNA-Ser
Source: RNAcentral
GCCGACUGGUGUAGUCGUUAGUGACCCUGACUGCUAAACCGGAGGUCCCGGGUUCGAUUCCCGGCUGGGGCA